This 503-nucleotide ribosomal RNA is filed under the name uncultured bacterium. Its description in RNAcentral is "bacterial SSU rRNA". It matches the Rfam family "Bacterial small subunit ribosomal RNA", at positions 11 to 502 of the family's 1533-position model. The record is from RNAcentral.
GUUUGAUCCUGGCUCAGAUUGAACGCUGGCGGUAUGCCUAACACAUGCAAGUCGAACGGUAACAGAGAGAAGCUUGCUUCUUUGCUGACGAGUGGCGGACGGGUGAGUAACGCGUGGGAAUCUACCCAGUAGUUGGGGAUAGCCCGGAGAAAUCCGGAUUAAUACCGAAUAAUGUCUACGGACGAAAAGGUGCCUCUUCUUGAAAGCACUUGCUAUUGGAUGAGCCCGCGUUAGAUUAGUUUGUUGGUGGGGUAACGGCCUACCAAGACUGCGAUCUAUAGCUGGUUUGAGAGGAUGAUCAGCCACAUUGGGACUGAGACACGGCCCAGACUCCUACGGGAGGCAGCAGUGGGGAAUAUUGGACAAUGGGCGCAAGCCUGAUCCAGCAAUACCGCGUGUGUGAAGAAGGCCUUAGGGUUGUAAAGCACUUUUAUGUAGGAAGAACGGUUGUGAGUUAAUAGCUCAUGACUUUGACGGUACUACAAGAAUAAGCACCGCUAACU